UUUGGGCGUUCCCCCUUCGGGGGGACAGGGUGACAGGUGGUGGCAUGGUUGUCGUCAGCUCGUGUCGUGAGAUGUUGGGUUAAGUCCCGCAACGAGCGCAACCCUGCCUCUAGUUGCCAGCAUUCGGUUGGGCACUCUAGAGGGGACUGCCGGCGACAAGUCGGAGGAAGGUGGGGAUGACGUCAAAUCAUCAUGCCCCUUAUGACCUGGGCUACACACGUGCUACAAUGGGCGGUACAAAGGGCUGCGAACCCGCGAGGGGGAGCGAAUCCCAAAAAGCCGCUCUCAGUUCGGAUUGCAGGCUGCAACUCGCCUGCAUGAAGCCGGAAUCGCUAGUAAUCGCGGAUCAGCAUGCCCGCGGUCGAAUACGUUCCGGGCCUU
RNAcentral lists this ribosomal RNA (381 nucleotides) under uncultured Geobacillus sp. Its description in RNAcentral is "bacterial SSU rRNA". It matches the Rfam family "Bacterial small subunit ribosomal RNA", at positions 1006 to 1382 of the family's 1533-position model. The record is from RNAcentral. Lineage: Bacteria; Bacillati; Bacillota; Bacilli; Caryophanales; Anoxybacillaceae.